RNAcentral lists this non-coding RNA (55 nucleotides) under unclassified sequences. RNAcentral's name for it is "Mu-gpT-DE RNA". It matches the Rfam family "Mu-gpT-DE RNA". The record is from Rfam by way of RNAcentral.
CCCUGACAGUUGCAUCGUGUAACUGACACUAGCCAAGACAGGAGAAACACAUAUG